GACGAACGCUGGCGGCGUGCCUAAUACAUGCAAGUCGAGCGAGCUGAACCAACAGAUUCACUUCGGUGAUGACGUUGGGAACGCGAGCGGCGGAUGGGUGAGUAACACGUGGGGAACCUGCCCCAUAGUCUGGGAUACCACUUGGAAACAGGUGCUAAUACCGGAUAAGAAAGCAGAUCGCAUGAUCAGCUUAUAAAAGGCGGCGUAAGCUGUCGCUAUGGGAUGGCCCCGCGGUGCAUUAGCUAGUUGGUAGGGUAACGGCCUACCAAGGCAAUGAUGCAUAGCCGAGUUGAGAGACUGAUCGGCCACAUUGGGACUGAGACACGGCCCAA
This 332-nucleotide ribosomal RNA is filed under the name uncultured Lactobacillus sp. RNAcentral describes it as "bacterial SSU rRNA". It matches the Rfam family "Bacterial small subunit ribosomal RNA", at positions 28 to 334 of the family's 1533-position model. Lineage: Bacteria; Bacillati; Bacillota; Bacilli; Lactobacillales; Lactobacillaceae. The record is from RNAcentral.